This 494-nucleotide ribosomal RNA is filed under the name uncultured bacterium. Its description in RNAcentral is "partial 16S ribosomal RNA". It matches the Rfam family "Bacterial small subunit ribosomal RNA", at positions 29 to 505 of the family's 1533-position model. The record is from RNAcentral.
AUGCACGCUGGCGGCGUGCCUAAUACAUGCCAGUCGAGCGAACAGACGAGGAGCUUGCUCCUCUGACGUUAGCGGCGGACGGGUGAGUAACACGUGGAUAACCUACCUAUAAGACUGGGAUAACUUCGGGAAACCGGAGCUAAUACCGGAUAAUAUAUUGAACCGCAUGGUUCAAUAGUGAAAGACGGUUUUGCUGUCACUUAUAGAUGGAUCCGCGCCGCAUUAGCUAGUUGGUAAGGUAACGGCUUACCAAGGCAACGAUGCGUAGCCGACCUGAGAGGGUGAUCGGCCACACUGGAACUGAGACACGGUCCAGACUCCUACGGGAGGCAGCAGUAGGGAAUCUUCCGCAAUGGGCGAAAGCCUGACGGAGCAACGCCGCGUGAGUGAUGAAGGUCUUCGGAUCGUAAAACUCUGUUAUUAGGGAAGAACAAAUGUGUAAGUAACUAUGCACGUCUUGACGGUACCUAAUCAGAAAGCCACGGCUAACUACG